AGCAGCUUUGCCCUAUUGCCCCUUCAGGAGAAGAGACGUCUGCUGCCCUGUUUUCAGAUAAUACGAGAUUGAGAAAAAAUUAAGAAACAAGGCAAAAGCUGUAAAUGGAAAAGAGGUUCUUCAGUACAGUGGAGGUGAUGUGGAAGUUAUGGCUGGUCUCAAAGCUGAUUUGGAUAGGUACCCAAGAAAUAUUGGAUACCUUUGGGUGCCAGUAAGUUACAGGCUUUGGCAUCGUAUGCUCGAACAGAGAUAAAAGGGAGGUUGUGAAAAUUCUUUAUGGGGCUGGCAGAAUAGCUAAUUGAUAGAGUGGAAUUAUGGUGGCACUUGCAGGAAACGCACCUCUCCAUGCUCUGGGAUCAUUUGUCUACGCAAAACUCUAAAAAUUCUAUAUGAUAGCUCUGAUUUUAGUUUCUAGAUUUUCUACCAGUUUCCAGUUCAGGUUUUGACUAAAUCCUUGCUUCAUUUCCCUUUUCUUCUCGACAAAAUCUUCACAUUUCAUCAGCUCCCACUAUACCCGGAGGAUGAGAGGGUGAGCUUCUCCUUUUCACUUUACACAUUUUCCUAGGUUUAUUGGAAGCUUUAGCAGUGGGAUUGACAUUGAGACUACUACGAUAUGACAAAAGGCUGAAGACCAAGACCAAGAGCUUUCGGCACCAUGCAUGGGAGGCCCAAUCUGGGGGACACAAAAUAUUGCUGUCUGUGAGGUGUUGGGUUCCUUUCAUUUCAUACCUGCAUCGUCAAACCUGCUCAGCACUUGCAAAUUGCAAACCCCAGUUGGAAUUUUUUUACUUUUGACAUGAGAUUACCUACCAGAUUAUUAAUCUAAAUGCCUCUAAAUUAAACCA
This is a long non-coding RNA of Populus nigra (black poplar), 845 nucleotides long. RefSeq lists it as uncharacterized. NCBI's taxonomy places the organism in Eukaryota, Viridiplantae, Streptophyta, Magnoliopsida, Malpighiales, Salicaceae. The transcript is spliced from 2 exons. The record is from RefSeq and is a predicted model, not a curated record.